AGCAGUGUGGUGUAGUGCGCACACGGGUCUCCUUGAGUCAAGAUAGAAUCUCACCCCCGAGGUCCUUGUUCGAGCCAAGGCGCUGCUG
Molecule: non-coding RNA, 88 nt
Organism: Mycena epipterygia
Lineage: Eukaryota; Fungi; Basidiomycota; Agaricomycetes; Agaricales; Mycenaceae
Source: the annotation of a GenBank genome assembly